GGAGUCUGGGCCGUGUCUCAGUCCCAAUGUGGCCGUUCAUCCUCUCAGACCGGCUACUGAUCGUCGCCUUGGUGAGCCGUUACCCCACCAACUAGCUAAUCAGACGCAGGCCCAUCUCUAAGUGAUAGCUUACAAGUAGAGGCCAUCUUUGGUAAGUCCCUCAUGCGAGUUACUUACAACAUUCGGUAUUAGCAGUCCUUUCGGACUGUUGUCCCCAUCUUAGAGGCAGGUUGCCUACGCGUUACUCACCCGUUUGCCACUAGGCUCAUCUAAGCAAGCUUAAAAUCGCCCCGUUCGACUUGCAUGUGUUAAGCACGCCGCCAGCGUCGUCCUGAGCCACUGAUACAAACUACU
RNAcentral lists this ribosomal RNA (354 nucleotides) under uncultured Selenomonas sp. Its description in RNAcentral is "partial 16S ribosomal RNA". Lineage: Bacteria; Bacillati; Bacillota; Negativicutes; Selenomonadales; Selenomonadaceae. The record is from RNAcentral.